AAUGUACAAUACAAAAGGCUCAUCAUAAUUUUAUCACGUAUUGGUGAGUUGCCUAGGUCUGAUUUCUCCCGCCAAACAAUUCCAAUUUGGGGUUUUCUUUCUUUCUCCGGUUAAAUUUCAACAGUUAGUUACAGUUAGUUAUAGAAGAUUGUCACAAUAGUUUCGUCAAACAAUCCCAAAUUAAGGGUUUCGUUCUUUCUCUGCUAAUUUUCAACCGUCAGAUAUGGAAGACGCUUCUCCUCCGUGGACGACCGUGGCUCCGGCGACCUCACUCAUGUCGGAGGUGAUGUGGAAAUGUUUGUCAAGAUAACAGUCCGGGGUCAUGCCGAAUGGGUAUGGGAUGCUUACAUUCCCACAGCGAUCAGCGCAGCCGGGUUUGGCUAUGGGUGCAUUCGCUGGCAAAGCAGUUGGUGCUGAGGAGAAUAUCAACAGCACAAGGGAGAGAAUUUGCACAGGCAUCACAGGCAAACACAUUGCACUCUAGUGGAAGACCAAGUCCACUGCAGUGUGAUAUACGAAAGAGAUAUAAAUGUGUCUGCGCUAAUUUUGGCUGAGGUUCGUUGGAAUAGUUGGUCUUUCUUUUUCCGUGGGUCAAUGUUGUCUGAGUCACUGACAAAGAUAGUAACAUCCUUGACGUGCGGUGUCGGUUAGUGUUAACUUCAUAGAACGAACCAUUCGGUGCAAGUCUAUCAAAUCUUGUGAACAUAAAGAAAAUCUCUCUUGCAAUAUCUUGACUUUGGUUUAGUGAUAUUGUUGUAUAUUUGUAUGGUCGCUCAUUAGCUUAUUUAUUUUUAGUCCAUGUAGUAAUAAUGUUUAUUGCCAAACACCAGUUUUUUUUUUAAGUAAUUCUGUAAAUCAAGUGUUGAUCGCAUAAAGAAAGCGUGUAAAAGGGACAAGUGGUUUGUGAAGUCGUAGCCAAAUUUUGUUUGGGCCUUGAGUGGCGUUGCUAUCCAAUUUUGACUUCUUUUUUUUUAUUUAUUUUUUAUUUUUUUGACUUCCUUUCUCUUGUGGAUCCCAUUGAAUGAUGCAUGUUAGAUGAGAGAAAAGGUUUGGUGGCCGAAAUUUGUAACUUUUUGUUUUUUGCAUGACGAAUGUUUUUGUUUGAUCUUGACUCUAGACAUGUGGUGUGUGUGUUUAUUUUUCUAUAGUAUGCGGGACUAACUUUUUUUCCCUCCGAAUACUCAGGCAAAUUGAUAAUUUGUAACCAUAAUUGUUAUUAGGGUUAAUUACUAUGACACCCCUGAGGUUUGUCAUAUUAACAGUCAUAUACAACUUAGCCCUUUUUUGAACAAAGACAUCAUCUUAGUGAAAAUUUUGAUCCAAACAAGCC
Long non-coding RNA from Cornus florida, 1330 nucleotides. RefSeq lists it as uncharacterized. The transcript has 3 exons. Lineage: Eukaryota; Viridiplantae; Streptophyta; Magnoliopsida; Cornales; Cornaceae. The record is from RefSeq and is a predicted model, not a curated record.